GCAUUAAUGGGGUAGUGGUAACCUGGGUCGUUGCCAAUCGACAGCGAUGUCGACCCACCGGGAGUUCGAUUCUCUCUUAAUGUA
Sphagnurus paluster is the source of this 84-nucleotide non-coding RNA. The record is from the annotation of a GenBank genome assembly. Lineage: Eukaryota; Fungi; Basidiomycota; Agaricomycetes; Agaricales; Lyophyllaceae.